UUUUAUGAUUUUAUUAUAAAUUUAUUUUACAUACAAAUUUUAGUAUAAAAAUUUGAUUAUUUUAAUAAUAAUUUAAUUUAUGUAGUAAUUAAUUUUAAAAUAUUUAAGAAAUUAAGAUUUAGUAAUAUUUAAAUAAAUAACAAAUUUUGUGCCAGCAGUUGCGGUUAUACAAAAAUUUAAUUAAAAUUUUUCAGUAUAUAAUAAAUAAUAUUAAAAUUAAAAUAAAAAUUAAAUUAUUAAGUAAAAUUUUAAUUUAAUAAAAUUUUAUAAUUAAUUUAUGAUUUAAUAAAUUUAUAAAAAAACUAGGAUUAGAUACCCUAUUAUUGAAAUUUAAAUUAAAAAUACUAAAAUAGUAUAUAAUAAUUUAUUGAAACUUAAAUAAUUUGGCGGUAUUUUAGUUCAUUUAGAGGAAUCUGUCUAAUAAUUGAUAAUCCACGAAUAAAUUUACUUAAUUUAAAAUUUUAUAUAUCGUUGUUAAAAAAAUAUUUUAAAAUAAAAAUAAUAUUUAAAAAUUAAAAUUAAAAAUUAAUUCAGAUCAAGAUGUAGAUUAUAAUUAAGAAUAUGAUGGAUUACAAUAAAAUUAUUUAAAUGGAUUUUAUUUUGUAAAUAAAUAAAUAAAGGUGGAUUUAAAUGUAAAUUUAUUUAAUAUAAUAAAUUGAUUUAAAAUUAAAAUAUGUACAUAUUGCCCGUCGCUUUCAUUUUAAAGUUGGAAUAAGUCGUAACAAAGUAGAAGUACUGGAAAGUGUUUCUAGAAUGAA
RNAcentral lists this non-coding RNA (758 nucleotides) under Lycaena phlaeas (common copper). Lineage: Eukaryota; Metazoa; Arthropoda; Insecta; Lepidoptera; Lycaenidae. The record is from RNAcentral.